RNAcentral lists this unclassified non-coding RNA (402 nucleotides) under soil metagenome. RNAcentral's name for it is "partial contains 5.8S ribosomal RNA, internal transcribed spacer 2, and large subunit ribosomal RNA". The stretch from base 1 to 121 matches the Rfam family "5.8S ribosomal RNA", at positions 35 to 154 of the family's 154-position model. The record is from RNAcentral.
GAUGAAGAACGUAGCGAAAUGCGAUAAGUAAUGUGAAUUGCAGAAUUCAGUGAAUCAUCGAAUCUUUGAACGCACCUUGCGCCCUUUGGGUAUUCCGAAGGGCAUGCCUGUUUCAGUAUCAUGAACACCUCAACUCUCAUGGUUUGCCAUGAUGAGCUUGGACUCUGGGGGUCUUGCUGGCCUAUGGUCAGCUCCUCUCAAAUAAAUCAGCUUGCCAGUGUUUGGUGGCAUCACAGGUGUGAUAACUAUCUACGCUUGUGGUUUUCCAUCAGGUAACCUUCAGUGAUGGAGGUUCGCUGGAGCUCAUAAAUGUCCCUCCUCAGCGAGGACAGCUUUUUGAACGUUUGAUCUCAAAUCAGGUAGGACUACCCGCUGAACUUAAGCAUAUCAAUAAGCGGAGGA